Molecule: non-coding RNA, 27 nt
Filed under: Mus musculus (house mouse)
Lineage: Eukaryota; Metazoa; Chordata; Mammalia; Rodentia; Muridae
Source: RNAcentral
UGUUUAAGGGAGCAAUUGACUAAAGAG